Molecule: long non-coding RNA, 1166 nt
Filed under: Musa acuminata (dwarf banana)
Lineage: Eukaryota; Viridiplantae; Streptophyta; Magnoliopsida; Zingiberales; Musaceae
Description: long non-coding RNA (MACU_LNC010944)
Source: RNAcentral
AUAGAAGCUCAAAUGUCGUCCUUGACGUUGCAAUCAUAUCAUACUUAUCCAGAGCAUGAACAGAAAUAACUCACCAAAACUCUGGAUGUCAUAUCAAACAUAUAGAGGGUGUAGUGGGAUCUCAGUCAGAAUGUGAUUCAUCCAUUUCUGAAUGACCACCUGACAAAAGUCUCCCACGUCUAGGAGCUCCAUCCACCCACGUCUAGGUGAAGUCAAAGGGGGCCGGCAGAGCAACGCAGGCUCUAAGCAAUAUCCCACAUAGCGGGACCCCACAAAGCGGGCAAAUCAGCGCAUACCCUUUACCAUUUCUGGCAAAGGUCCAGACAAUCCCACACACCAGAGUACAAGAAGGCAGUUUCAACAAUAAGUAGCAUAUAACGGAAGCACACGCGGAACAACCAAACGUACAUGUGCCUUUUCAAAAACAAUGUGGUGCAAGGAACAAAUCUCUCACAAAAGUAUUCAUUUUAGGAAAGAAAUGAAAGCAAGAGUGUACAGGGAUUCCAAGCAAUCAUAAUCAGCUCAAUUCCAAUAAGAAGGUUAGGCGAAUUCAAGUAUCCAAAGGAAAUGGAACAGAAUACGCGAAAUCGACCAAAGCUCGAUUUCGGACAGAAUUCCAGUGGCACAUCAAACAAAUAUUUCAGAAUAACAAUUAUGCUCCAAUACCCAUAAAAAGGCUAUGGUCGAACCAUAUAUCAAUCUAUAUUCGGAUGGAACAGAUUUCAUAUGAAACAGGGCUCCCAACACAGAGUUACCUCUGAUUUGGUAACACAAGGUCCAAAUUACAAUCACUGUUUUGCAGAAUUUAUAGGGUCGGAAUCAACAGACGAUAGGGUGGGCAAUUGAACUCCAAAAUUUUCAAACUAUAUGUCAAAAGAGAGAAUUUCAAGUCUAGUUUCAAAUAAAAUCAGUUUGGUACAAAUCAGAAUGUUCAACAGGGGGUUAUAGGCGUUUUAGUAUCAAAAGGUCAGAAAUCUUGAACUCUGUUUUACAGCGUCUAUAGGCUCUUUUGAAACAAAUUUUUGGGUAAGUAUUCGGUGUCCAAAAUCUACAAAAUCGGUGUCAAAAGAAAUACAUACGAGUCUAAUUUCAAACAAAAAUAGUUCCUGCCUGAAUUCUCAUUCUGUACUAAAACUUAUAGCGGAAACAGUGCUUAGGGGUCAANN